This 406-nucleotide ribosomal RNA is filed under the name uncultured bacterium. RNAcentral describes it as "partial 16S ribosomal RNA". It matches the Rfam family "Bacterial small subunit ribosomal RNA", at positions 30 to 526 of the family's 1533-position model. The record is from RNAcentral.
AUUGAACGCUGGCGGCAGGCCUAACACAUGCAAGUCGAACGAGUGGCGGACGGGUGAGUAAUGUCUGGGAAACUGCCCGAUAGAGGGGGAUAACUACUGGAAACGGUAGCUAAUACCGCAUACCAUCGGAUGUCCCCAGAUGGGAUUAGCUAGUAGGUGAGGUAACGGCUCACCUAGGCGACGAUCCCUAGCUGGUCUGAGAGGAUGAUCAGCCAAACUGGAACGGAGACACGGCCCAGACUCCUACGGGAGGCAGCAGUGGGGAAUAUUGCACAAUGGGCGCAAGCCUGAUGCAGCCAUGCCGCGUGUAUGAAGAAGGCCUUAGGGUUGUAAAGUACUUUCAGUGGGGAGGCGUUACCGACAGAAGAAGCACCGGCUAACUCCGUGCCAGCAGCCGCGGUAAUUC